This is an unclassified non-coding RNA of Callithrix jacchus (white-tufted-ear marmoset), 298 nucleotides long. It matches the Rfam family "Metazoan signal recognition particle RNA". Rfam says of the family: The signal recognition particle (SRP) is a universally conserved ribonucleoprotein. It is involved in the co-translational targeting of proteins to membranes. The record is from Ensembl. NCBI's taxonomy places the organism in Eukaryota, Metazoa, Chordata, Mammalia, Primates, Cebidae.
GCCAGGCGCAGCAGCACAUGCCUGUAGUCCCAGCUACUUGGGAGGCUGAGGUGGGAGAAUCGCUUGAGCCCAGGAGUUCUGGGCUAUAGUGUGCUAUGCCGAUCGGGUGCGCACUAAGUUCGGCAUCAAAAUGGUGACCUCCCAGGAGCAGGGGACCACCAGGUUGCCUAAGGAGGGGUGAGCCAGCCCAGGUCAGAAAUGGAGUAGGUCAAAACUCCCGUGCUGAUCAGUAGUGAGAUCAUGCCUGUGAAUAGCCACUGCACUCCAACCUGGGUAACACAGUGAGACCCCAUCUCUU